AUACAUGCAGUCGAACGCUUCUUUYCUCCCGAGUGCUUGCACUCAAUUGGAAAGAGGAGUGGCGGACGGGUGAGUAACACGUGGGUAACCUACCCAUCAGAGGGGGAUAACACUUGGAAACAGGUGCUAAUACCGCAUAACAGUUUAUGCCGCAUGGCAUAAGAGUGAAAGGCGCUUUCGGGUGUCGCUGAUGGAUGGACCCGCGGUGCAUUAGCUAGUUGGUGAGGUAACGGCUCACCAAGGCCRCGAUGCAUAGCCGACCUGAGAGGGUGAUCGGCCACACUGGGACUGAGACACGGCCCAGACUCCUACGGGAGGCAGCAGUAGGGAAUCUUCGGCAAUGGACGAAAGUCUGACCGAGCAACGCCGCGUGAGUGAAGAAGGUUUUCGGAUCGUAAAACUCUGUUGUUAGAGAAGAACAAGGACGUUAGUAACUGAACGUCCCCUGACGGUAUCUAACCAGAAAGCCACGGCUAACUACGUGCCAGCAGCCGCGGUAAUACGUAGGUGGCAAGCGUUGUCCGGAUUUAUUGGGCGUAAAGCGAGCGCAGGCGGUUUCUUAAGUCUGAUGUGAAAGCCCCCGGCUCAACCGGGGAGGGUCAUUGGAAACUGGGGAGACUUGAGUGCAGAAGAGGAGAGUGGAAUUCCAUGUGUAGCGGUGAAAUGCGUAGAUAUAUGGAGGAACACCAGUGGCGAAGGCGGCUCUCUGGUCUGUAACUGACGCUGAGGCUCGAAAGCGUGGGAGCAAACAGGAUUAGAUACCCUGGUAGUCCACGCCGUAAACGAUGAGUGCUAAGUGUUGGAGGGUUUCCGCCCUUC
Molecule: ribosomal RNA, 819 nt
Filed under: Enterococcus faecalis
Lineage: Bacteria; Bacillati; Bacillota; Bacilli; Lactobacillales; Enterococcaceae
Description: bacterial SSU rRNA
Source: RNAcentral